AUACGGAGGGGGCUAGCGUUGUUCGGAAUUACUGGGCGUAAAGCGCGCGUAGGCGGAUCGUUAAGUCAGGGGUGAAAGCCCGGAGCUCAACUCCGGAACUGCCCUUGAUACUGGCGAUCUCGAGUCCGGGAGAGGUGAGCGGAAUUCCUAGUGUAGAGGUGAAAUUCGUAGAUAUUAGGCGGAACACCAGUGGCGAAGGCGGCUCACUGGCCCGGUACUGACGCUGAGGUGCGAAAGCGUAGGGAGCACACAGGAUUAGAUACCCUAGUAGUCC
RNAcentral lists this ribosomal RNA (274 nucleotides) under uncultured bacterium. Its description in RNAcentral is "partial 16S ribosomal RNA". It matches the Rfam family "Bacterial small subunit ribosomal RNA", at positions 523 to 796 of the family's 1533-position model. The record is from RNAcentral.